UNCAGCUGGUUCCUAUGGGAUGUGCCCUGGU
This 31-nucleotide non-coding RNA is filed under the name Mus musculus (house mouse). The record is from RNAcentral. Lineage: Eukaryota; Metazoa; Chordata; Mammalia; Rodentia; Muridae.